RNAcentral lists this long non-coding RNA (576 nucleotides) under Homo sapiens (human). RNAcentral describes it as "family with sequence similarity 230 member H". The record is from RNAcentral. Lineage: Eukaryota; Metazoa; Chordata; Mammalia; Primates; Hominidae.
AGGGAUCUUCUGCCCUUGGUCCUAAGUGCCACUAUCUGUGCUGAGUUUUUCAAAGGUCAGAGCAGAUUGAACCAUUGUGGUUUCAUUUUCCCUGAUUUUGAUUUUUCUUAUGGGGAACCUGUGUGGCUGCAUUCAAGGUGACUCGAAGAAGCCUUCCAAAAAGCAUGUGAAAAGGAAGCCCUACUCUACUACCAAGGUGACUUCAGGGAGCACAUUCAAUGGUACGUAUUCUGGAAUCACUCACUGGUUGUUAGAAAAGGAUUCUACAGGAAAUCUGGAGCUUAACUGCUGGCUUUUGUCUGGAGAGCCUCCAUGAUCCAAGACAUCUGGUGGGAAUGAGGAUGUAGGGUAUAGUAAAAGAAACUGGUUUUCCUGGUGACAUACUCUUUUUAUCUAUGUAUAGUUUCUGGGAACAUGUUCACAUUAGGUUGUGUGUGGGUAUGUGUGUAUUAGGGCGGGGGUGGGGUGAGGUGGUCUGUGUGCAAGUCUGCAUGAUUUGCUUGUGAAUGUGUGUCUAUGUGUGUUUCCCCUAGGAAAAAAAUGUUGUGUUUACCCAGCACAACUCUCAGUGCCAUU